AUUGAACGCUGGCGGCAUGCUUUACACAUGCAAGUCGAACGGCAGCGCGGGCUUCGGCCUGGCGGCGAGUGGCGAACGGGUGAGUAAUGCAUCGGAACGUGCCCAGUCGUGGGGGAUAGCCCGGCGAAAGCCGGAUUAAUACCGCAUACGACCUGAGGGUGAAAGCGGGGGACCGAAAGGCCUCGCGCUAUUUGCGCUGCCGAUGUCGGAUUAGCUAGUUGGUGGGGUAAAGGCUUACCAAGGCGACGAUCCGUAGCUGGUCUGAGAGGCCGACCAGCCACACUGGAACUGAGACACGGCCCAGACUCCUACGGGAGGCAGCAGUGGGGAAUUUUGGACAAUGGGGGCAACCCUGAUCCAGCCAUGCCGCGUGCGGGAAGAAGGCCUUCGGGUUGUAAACCGCUUUUGUUCGGGAAGAAAUCCUCUGGGCUAAUACCCCGGGGGGAUGACGGUACCGGAAGAAUAAGCACCGGCUAACUACGUG
RNAcentral lists this ribosomal RNA (484 nucleotides) under uncultured bacterium. RNAcentral's name for it is "partial 16S ribosomal RNA". It matches the Rfam family "Bacterial small subunit ribosomal RNA", at positions 28 to 507 of the family's 1533-position model. The record is from RNAcentral.